This 666-nucleotide long non-coding RNA is filed under the name Monodelphis domestica (gray short-tailed opossum). RNAcentral's name for it is "lncRNA (ENSMODG00000037874.1)". The record is from RNAcentral. Lineage: Eukaryota; Metazoa; Chordata; Mammalia; Didelphimorphia; Didelphidae.
AUGUUAUAAGAGAUUUAGCAAGAGCAAUGACAGGGCAGAAGAGAGAAUUCCGGAACUCUGAAGAGGACACAGGCAGUUUCUUCUCAGGAGGAGACAGGGCAGUUGCUGGAAUUACUCUCUGGAGUAGGACUGUGUGAUCUUCCUGUUCAAGCAAGUUCAUCUUCUUGGAAGUGGUAGAGAUUGGUUAACACUCCACAAGUGGACUGUAUGAGUUAAACCGUGACUCCCCUUCCUGUUCUUGUGUGGUCCUGCUGCUGCUGUGAUCUCUACUAGGACUCCUACCAGACUCAAGAGGACACAGCUGAUUCUCCAAAACGGAUCAUUUAUAUCUUUUAUCAUUUUUGCCAAUGUGCUAGACAUAAAGGGUAACCUUCAGACUUUUGAGGUGCUGAAUGUCUCAGAAACUGUAGCUGUCACCUAUUGUGAGGGUCUAUGGAAUGUAACUCCUGUGAUAGAAACAAUAUAUCAUUUUAAAUUAUAAAAGAUAAAGUCCAAGAGAGAAAAAUUCAUGACACCUACCAGUAAGCAUUCAAAAAUCUUCUCUUCAUUAAUUAAUAGCAGAUGGGUGGAACAGUGGCAUCUCAUUGACUACAUCAUUGUACGUCCGUGAGACAUCCAGGAUGUAAAGAUCACCAGAGCCAUGAGAGGAGCUGAAUGCUGGACAGA